UAAAUGAGAAGAAUUAUGGGAAAUUUUCUCUGUGUAUUUUAUUGAUCAGUGCUCCAUUCCAUUUAUACAAGUAGAAGAGAAGAAAAAUAGCUAUAUUCUAUACAGGUGUCCCUGUACUAUAGGUUAGGUUCUAACAAACUUAAAACAAACUUGUAAGAGAGAAUACUCCUAUGUACACAUAUUGUUAUCAUCAGCUGGGCCUUUAACAAAUGAACCCAAAUUCCUUUUGUCCAAUUAAUUAGUUGGGCCUGAUAUUCCU
Molecule: long non-coding RNA, 259 nt
Filed under: Solanum tuberosum (potato)
Lineage: Eukaryota; Viridiplantae; Streptophyta; Magnoliopsida; Solanales; Solanaceae
Description: long non-coding RNA (STUB_LNC005501)
Source: RNAcentral